This is a non-coding RNA of Cydia splendana, 74 nucleotides long. The record is from the annotation of a RefSeq genome assembly. NCBI's taxonomy places the organism in Eukaryota, Metazoa, Arthropoda, Insecta, Lepidoptera, Tortricidae.
GGCCUCGUAGCCUAGUCGGUAGAGCCUACUGCCUACGAAGCAGGAGGUCCCGGGUUCGAAUCCUGGUGAGGGCA